This 248-nucleotide long non-coding RNA is filed under the name Hordeum vulgare. Its description in RNAcentral is "long non-coding RNA (HVUL_LNC004946)". The record is from RNAcentral. Lineage: Eukaryota; Viridiplantae; Streptophyta; Magnoliopsida; Poales; Poaceae.
UUUUCUUUUUGAUAUUUCACCCUUUAUUUGUCGUAGUAUUUGUAGGAGUAACUUGUUUUCCUUUUGCAAGGAUAAAAGUGUUUUAUUCCGAAACUUUUGUGGAAUAAACGACCGUUUCUCUCUCAGGGACUUGAUCUCCAAAGCUAGAAGACCAUACUUGUAGCAAACAAGCGAAUCAUAUCUGAAGAUCAAAUAGGACCGCCGACCAAUCUAACUAUACAACUAGGAGAAGUAACUCUUGACACCAC